UAGCGUGUCUGGCAGCGACAUCUCUGUUAGCGAGUCCGCGGUGACAUAUUUGUCUAGUUAGGCUAGCGAGACCAGCGGCGACAUCUUCCUCUAUUGAGUCCGCAGCGACAUUUUCCUCCAGCAAGGCUAGCGUGUCCCGCAGCGACAUCUUCCACUAACGAGUCCGGUGGCGACAUUUUCUGCUAGCGAGUCCGGCAGCGACAUAUUCCUCCAGUGAGGCUAGCGUGUCCCACGGCGACAUCUUCCGCUAGCGAAUCUGCGGCGACAUUUUCCUCCAGCUAGGCUAGUGUGUCCCACAAAGAUAUCUUCCACUAGCGAGUCCGCGGUGACAUAUUACGCUAGGCAACAUUUUCCUCCAGCGAGGCUAGCGUGUCCGGCGGCGACAUCUUCUGCUAGGCGACAUAUUCCUCCAGCGAGGCUACCGUGUCCCACGACGACAUCUUUCGCCUGCGAGUAUGGGCGACGACAUCUUCUGUUAGCGAGUCUGCGGCGACAUUUUCCUCCAGGUAGGCUAGCGUGUCCCAGGACGACAUCUUCCACUAGCGAGUCCGCGGCAACAUAUUCCGCUAGGCGACAUUUUCCUCCAGCGAGGCUAGAGUGUCAGGCGGCGACAUCUUCCGCUAGGCGACAUAUUCCUCCAGCGAGGCUACCGUGUCCUGCGGCGACAUCUUUCGCCUGCGAGUAUGGGCGGCGAUAUCUUCCUCUAGCUAGUUCGCGGCGACAUUUUCGUCCAGCAAGGCUAGCGUGUCCCGCGGCGACAUCUUCCACUAGCUAGUCAGCGGCGACAUAUUCCUCCAAAGAGGCUACCGUGUAGCGGCGACAUCUUCCGCUAGCUUGUCCAGCGGCGAUAUAUUCCUCCAGCGAGGCUACUGUAUCCCACGGCGACAUCUUCAUCUAGCGAGUUCGAUGGCG
Molecule: long non-coding RNA, 912 nt
Filed under: Rosa chinensis
Lineage: Eukaryota; Viridiplantae; Streptophyta; Magnoliopsida; Rosales; Rosaceae
Description: sRNA RchiOBHm_Chr4g0412961
Source: RNAcentral